This is a non-coding RNA of Castor canadensis (American beaver), 555 nucleotides long. Lineage: Eukaryota; Metazoa; Chordata; Mammalia; Rodentia; Castoridae. The record is from the annotation of a RefSeq genome assembly.
AACAGAGUGGACCUCAUAGAUCAGUGUGUGCUGAAAUCCACUUCCGAGGGACAAGGGAGGCUCCACCUCUGCUGCUGCUCACAAGGAUGCUGAUCUGGUGAGACUUCAUCUGACCCUAACUCUGCUAUGGGCACCAGGCUCCUUUGCUGGAUUAUCCUCUGUCUCCUGGGCAUAGACCAAACCAAAGCUGGAGUCUCCCAGUCCCCUAUGCACAGGGUAACAGAGAAGGGACAGAAUGUAACUCUCAGAUGUGAUCCAAUUUCUGAUCAUGUUACUCUUUAUUGGUACCAACAGAAUCCAGGGCAAGGCCCAGAGUUUCUGAUUUAUUUCCAGAAUGAAUUUGCAACAGACACAUCUGGGAUGCCUAAUGAUCGGUUCUCUGCAGAGAGGCCUGAGGGCUCCUCCUCCACACUGAAGAUCAAGUCUGCAGAGCAAGAGGACUCAGCCUUGUACCUCUGUGCCAGCAGCUUAGUCACGGUGUGGCAUAGCCACCUCCUUCCUGCUCACAAACCUCAUGUGCCAGCUGUCCUCACAGUUCCCAGAAACCCUGAAUAG